RNAcentral lists this ribosomal RNA (115 nucleotides) under Zingiber officinale. Lineage: Eukaryota; Viridiplantae; Streptophyta; Magnoliopsida; Zingiberales; Zingiberaceae. The record is from RNAcentral.
GCGAUCAUACCAGCACUAAUGCACCGGAUCCCAUCAGAACUCCGAAUUUAAGAUUGCUUGGGCGAGGGCAGUACUAGGAUGGGAUACUCCCUGGGAAGUCCUCGUGUUGAACAUA